This is a long non-coding RNA of Gopherus evgoodei (Goodes thornscrub tortoise), 121 nucleotides long. RefSeq lists it as uncharacterized. The transcript is spliced from 3 exons. Lineage: Eukaryota; Metazoa; Chordata; Testudines; Testudinidae. The record is from RefSeq and is a predicted model, not a curated record.
CAGUGGGGGGCAAAAAAACUAACUGGCUUCAAGACUGAGCUUGAUAAGUUUAUGGAGGGGAUGGUAUGCUGGGACUGCCAACAAUGGCAUGUGGCCAAUCUGCAACUGCCAGGAAACAAAA